This is a non-coding RNA of Mugil cephalus (flathead mullet), 277 nucleotides long. RefSeq annotates it as small Cajal body-specific RNA 6. The transcript has a single exon. The record is from RefSeq and is a predicted model, not a curated record. NCBI's taxonomy places the organism in Eukaryota, Metazoa, Chordata, Actinopteri, Mugiliformes, Mugilidae.
GGUCAGUGAUGAACAGUAAAAGGUCUGAUUACCCACAAUCCCCUCCUGUUGGCCUCCAGCUCCCAGCAGCCCUUGCUGUCUUCUCCCAUCAUGCUCUAGUGAUGCAGUGGUGGUCCAAGCAGCUGCUGACAAACAGGAAGUGACAUCACAGGGUCUGUAGUGAGGUCCUAUUGACUCUGAUGGUUGACAUCCAACACAACCAAUCAGCAGGAGCAUCAGGAGGAGGAGGAGGAGGAGGAGGAGGAGGGAGCUGAUCUCUAGUUUUCAACCUGAGACC